This 289-nucleotide ribosomal RNA is filed under the name Paracoccus marginatus. RNAcentral describes it as "partial 28S large subunit ribosomal RNA". Lineage: Eukaryota; Metazoa; Arthropoda; Insecta; Hemiptera; Pseudococcidae. The record is from RNAcentral.
UAAACCGUUCGGGGGGAAACGGACAGAGCUCGUGAAUCCGGGCGACGGAAUUCAGAAUUUGUGGCGUUUACGCGCCGCAGGCUCGAUAUUUCCGUCGCCGUCAUUUCGGACGUCGCGACCCGUUUGGUGUCGGCCUGAGGAGACGUGCGAAAGUUCGUCGACGCGUCGGACUCGUUUCGGCGCGUCGACGAGUGCGCGUUUUAUUCGCUGACUGACUCGCCAGACGGUAUGCAACGGUGGUCGCGGCGGCCUUUGCGCCGCCGUCGAUGCCGGUCUGCGACGAAUCUUC